Long non-coding RNA from Puntigrus tetrazona (Sumatra barb), 285 nucleotides. RefSeq lists it as uncharacterized. The transcript has 3 exons. Lineage: Eukaryota; Metazoa; Chordata; Actinopteri; Cypriniformes; Cyprinidae. The record is from RefSeq and is a predicted model, not a curated record.
UAGGAAUCCUCCUGUUCUUGAUGGCCUGUGGGUAUUAUCCCACAGAAUACGACCUCCAUCUGAUCAGUAAGAGGAGCUGGACCAGACCUGGCCUGUCACAAGAAUGCUGCCAGAUCAUAGCUUCGUGUUUGCAGUCUGAUCCAAAGCGGAGGAUCAAUCUGGAGAAGAUGCUUCUCCAUGAUUGGUUUAAGCAGGUCGUGGAGUAAUACAUGAAGAACUGUCACAACAGCUGUCACAUAUGUGGCUUUCCUGUCCCUCCAUCCACGCCUUGGCGCCUCGACUUGG